This 30-nucleotide small nuclear RNA is filed under the name Phaeodactylum tricornutum CCAP 1055/1. Its description in RNAcentral is "snRNA PTsRNA00009a". Lineage: Eukaryota; Bacillariophyta; Bacillariophyceae; Surirellales; Neidiaceae. The record is from RNAcentral.
CACAAUGAACGAACCAAAGUAUACUGAUAU